GUAUAUUUGGCAUAUGAAUGCUGAUCAUUGUUCUUUUGGUGCAUAGGUCUCUAGAUCAAGAAAAGCCACACCUCCUGAUACAGACACUGUUAUAUAUACCCCUUGUUGUAGGGACUGCUGUACAUAACCUUUGAGUAUUGCCUUGACUGGACAGGACUUUGAGAUUGUCUCUGUAGCAGAAGAGGUUGCAUAUACUUUACCUGUGGACGGGAGAGUGAGUUUAACAUUUGGUAUCUACAAGAGAGUGUGGCAUUCAAUUGUGCUGCCCACCAAUUAUUUCUGGCUUUUGUGUGGACCCAGGUUGGAAAUGCUCUUCUGCACCAUCUUUGAAGCUAGGUGUGGCAAUGUGACUUGCCUUGAUUAAGAUGAUAUGUCAUUUCUAGGCAGAAGCUUUAAAGUCAGUGUGUGAUUAUUGUGCUCCCUUUGCCCUGUGUUGGCAAUCAUGAAAGCAUGGAGAUGGAACCUUGCUUGGCUUGGGGCCUACAGAACAUCCCAGCUGGCCCAGGAUUGGAAUAUCAGGAUGAAUAAUAAAUACGAAUUUGUUUAAAAAAAAAAAAAAAACAGGAAUUGAACCCAGGGGCACCUAACCACUGAGCCACAUCCCCAGCCCCUUUUUUUUAAUAUUUAUUUUUUAGUUUUAGGUGGAC
Molecule: long non-coding RNA, 647 nt
Filed under: Marmota monax (woodchuck)
Lineage: Eukaryota; Metazoa; Chordata; Mammalia; Rodentia; Sciuridae
Source: RNAcentral